Molecule: long non-coding RNA, 867 nt
Organism: Heterocephalus glaber (naked mole-rat)
Lineage: Eukaryota; Metazoa; Chordata; Mammalia; Rodentia; Bathyergidae
Source: RefSeq, a predicted model, not a curated record
AUGUGCAGAGUGUCUGGGUUUUGAGUGAUUAGGCUGCUGCACAUCUCGGCCACAGCACAGAAUCAUUCCACAGCUUCUCGAUGAGAUUAAGCGCAGACUUGGCCGCCGGACAGGGGACGGAGGGCAGGUUACGCAAGGCGCCGGGCUGCUCCUCCCGGGCCUGGCAGCCGCUCCGCCCGCCGCCGGGAGAACAACGCAUUGAAACCACUGAGUGGAGAUUGGAGUUAGUCCAGACAUAAACCAUCUUAAUGAACACUAAUAGAGAACUGCAAUUAUUGUUGACUUCAAAAUGCAAACAGGAACUUUAGACAGCGAUCCCUAUCAGCCCAUGAGGCCAGUACUCAUGCCGUGCACUGUUUUUGCUGUUGCUUAGCAAUGGAAAAUGAACUGUUCCUGCCUCUUAUCACUGGAGGUAGAGGUAGGACAAUGAGCUUUAUUGGACUGAAUAGGUAUAAAAUUAGUUUAUUCUUUCUCACUUGGAACAGGCAGUCGGCAGCAAAGAGAAUCAUUUGGACCAGGGGCCUUUCAGAGGUUAGGGGGUGGUUUUCCUUUCUUGUUAACUCAAUAAAUCCUAACUCUUUGUGUUUUUCUCCCCAGAUAAAGCUUGAACUUUUGCCACAAGUGUCCUGACAGUAGAGAAAAUAUAUACAAAUGUAGACCAGCAUGGAAACUAGGGUGAGUCUCAGGAGUGAAAUUUAAGAAGUGCCAAAAAAAGUAAUAAUCAGGAUUAUAGCAAUCAAAUAAUAGCUUAAUAUAUUAAAUAUAGACAUUUUUAUUGUCCAUUAUCUAGUUUACUAUACUUGGAUAAACUACAUGUGUAGUUUUUAUAGGUAAAAAAUAACUAUAAAGAAAAAUGGGUGAAAAAAA